This 544-nucleotide long non-coding RNA is filed under the name Parus major (Great Tit). RNAcentral describes it as "lncRNA (ENSPMJG00000011350.1)". Lineage: Eukaryota; Metazoa; Chordata; Aves; Passeriformes; Paridae. The record is from RNAcentral.
UCUUCUACUGCCUCAUAUUUUGGAAAUCAAUACAAAAGUCAUGCUGUUUCCUCUACAGAGUGAUCCAACUCACAGCAGUGUGGGAAGAAGGUAGUAGGGAGAGAAACCUGAGGCAGACAUUCCUGUGGUCAAGCUGUUCUGGAGGUCUCACGUGAAGAGACAGAGGAGAGGAGAACACUGUCAAUGCUGUACUUCAUUGAUUAGGAUUCUUGACAAACAAGUUCAAGAGGGAGUGAAAAAAAAGCAAGAAAGAAGAGGAAACUGAGCACUAAACAACUUUACUUUGGUUUUCCUGCAAAGAAAAUGAAUGUAAUUUUUCCUCACUGCUUAGAAAAAUACAAACAUUAAGGAUCAUCUUCUUAAACUAUCAGAAAAAUUCCAUUAUUCUGUGAUUGUCUGGCAGCUGAAGCACUACCCAUUUGCACUGCACGUGCCCAGGAUGAGCAGGACUCCGACCUUCACUCACAGAGGAGUUUUUCAGUGUCUGGUGAAGGUUUGGCAGUGGCAUGAACACACAAUUCAAAGAAGUGAAGGAACAACAUUG